Molecule: long non-coding RNA, 2665 nt
Filed under: Zea mays
Lineage: Eukaryota; Viridiplantae; Streptophyta; Magnoliopsida; Poales; Poaceae
Description: drought responsive lncRNA
Source: RNAcentral
GGUGUUUGUAUGGGUGGGUGGGUGAGGGGGAGAGGGCUCAGCUUCGCCUUUGCUCAUUCAUCUUACUGUAUCCUCAUCAUCUCUUAUCACCAGAUCGACUUGUCCUGACAAGUCAGCUGCCCUGGUUAUCACCCAUGAAGAAUGGCAUGACCAUCCGAGGACAAGGUCUUUAUAAUUAGGACAUAAUUGAAAAGGUUUCCAAGAGAGCAAAGCGAGGACUCCAGUUUGGUACCCAUAGCAGCCUUGAUUGCUCAAAGGCGCAUGUCAGCCUUGGUUAUUGAUCAUUGCCCCACAUUGGAAUUUUACUUAUUCAUAAUUGAGGGGCACUCAGGUAGAAACGUAUGAUAUAUAACUGACUUUGCAUAUUAGUCUUAACAUUAACCCAUAGAAACCAACCCCUACCCUAUCUUGCCGCACAUAUUACCCAUCUUGAUGCAAGAGCAUCUCCAACAAUUUAUCCGUGCAUGAAAAAAAGAAGGUACACACGCGCAAAGAUAUGCAGACGACCUCUACUUAUCAUGGGGGGGCAAAGAUAUGUGGAUGACCGCUACUAGUUAAUAUCUAUUGGAAAGGUUGCAAAAACAGAUUUUUCAGGAUUACUCCCUUUGUCCCAAAAUAAGUGCACUUCUAGCAUUCAAAUUUCGUCCCACACCAAGUGCACAUAUAGGUAUGGGACCACCUAGCUUUAGUAUAUUUUUUUACAUUCUCUACUUCCUAAGUGCAAUUGUUACUCAGCAUUGGAAUAAACAAGCAAUUCUAGAAGUGCUUUUCUUUUGGGGCUGGCGUAGUAUUUCUUUUAAGGUACUGUUGGAGAUGCUCUAAGUGUAACUGUGCUGGUUGUCACAUCCAAAUGAUCUUCCUAGGCAGAACCACAAACAAAAAGCGCUGAUCAAAUAUGCUUCAGGAGGGUAGAGGGUCAGCUCAAUGGCAUGCAAUUCAGAAAAAGGGAGAACAUCAUUGCCCUCCAUCAGCAAUCCAUUCAUAGGUUCAGGCUCAUUUCCAGGCCCAGCACGGUCACCCUAAGCAAAUUUCACUUGCAAUGGCCACUGGUACUUUCUCCCAAGCCAGAAAACUGCCUCUUUAUAUCUCAUAAUCACAUAUUCUGAUCCCAUAUGCACUGCCUAUCCAUGUGCCACCGAGGUGUGGGGGUGAGGAGCAGAAGGGCUACGAACGUUCAGAGCAAAGCACAUCAAAGCACACAGGACUGCAGGCGUGGAUCAAGUAAAGAACAUGGGUGUCCACAUGUAUGCCUGAUAAGUGAUAAUCUUUAAAAGGGAUCAAAGUUAGUAAGCAUAAUCCAAGAAUACACUUGUAAUUAGAUCAGAUCCAAAUACACCAGAUAGCUUAAGUUAGAGUUUGGGUGGGUUGGAAAACCUGGUUGGGUGCUCGUUGCCAGGAAGUGCAUGAUUUUGGGUGGGUUGGAAAACCUGGCGAAGGGCCCAACGAGACCUGGGCACCUGGCGUAGGGUGGUGGCGGCCACCCAGUCAUCGCCACGAGAGGGGGGAGAGAGAGAGAGCACGCAGGGAGAAGAGGAAGGGAGAAGGAAAGAAGGGGGGUGAAGGAGAGAAGAUGGAAAAAAAUUUAAAUGUCCCACAGGAAACUAAAAGGGAAGAAAAGAAGAUCACCACUGCAACACAUUAGGAGGAAAGUAUACAUGUUCCAUCCAUCAAGUAGUAGUAGUGAAAACAUGCUUGUGAACGCUACUCCCUAUCAGAGCAUCUCCAGUAGUUCCCAGAAACACACUCCCAAUCUUGGUUUUAUGGCAGGAUGGAAAGAAAGCUCUCCAACAACUCUGCAUCAUAACUCCCAAUGUCUCUGCACUUGGGAAAAUAGAUCGAUACAUGCGUGAACAGCAUAGAAACAGCACAAACGUAGAGAAGCUUUUCACAAACAUGACCAAAAAAAGCACAACCAAGCUCAUGACAAUAAUUUAGCAUGUCUAUCAUUUGGAUUGAUCAAUCCAGAUUGAUCAAAGCCAUGGCACAAAAUUAGGACCACUAACACCAAUGCCAGUUACCCAAAGGGAUUUCCAAGCUAGUGCCUCAGGACACAGAAGUAAAGACGCAUUAGGGAACCAGUUAUAAGUAUUGGUGGAAGAAUAAAAGUAGUAAAUAAGAGUGUGGAGAAGAAAUAAAAUCAUUCUUUAGAACAAAAUGAGCAACUCAUCCAGUUAAGCUUGGGCAUCCCAACCAAAAACAUGAAGAAUAUAUGCAUCAAAUCUACCCGAGUCAAGAAUCUUAUAUGACAUCAAAUCGAACUCAGAUUUGUCCCAUCGGUAUCAUGAUCCAGGUCCCAAGUUGAAAUCACAGCAAAAGAAGGAUACAUGAAGGAAAUAGAAUCAUAGACAAAAGUAUAUGACAGAAUAGAAAGAGUAAUGUCACAUUGAAUGGCUCAGAUUUGCCCCAACAUCAACACAACACUCGCAGAAGAAACAUGAACUCCUCCCUCCACACGCUAAACGAACUUUUGAGUAGGAUUGUUCACUUGGAAAUAUAAACGACACCACCGCCACAGCAAUGGCAACAAUCAGUUGCAAACUGGUUGCUUGUAUAUGGUACAAGCCAUCCAAGUUUAACAAUAUAUUGAGCAAAAUACCAAACCCUAAAUCCUAAACCCUAAACAAUUCAACACAUUCAUCCCAUUACUUGAAAUCCAUGUCCCAAG